GUGGGGAAUAUUGGGCAAUGGGCGCAAGCCUGACCCAGCAACGCCGCGUGAAGGAAGAAGGCUUUCGGGUUGUAAACUUCUUUUACCAGGGACGAAAAAAAUGACGGUACCUGGAGAAUAAGCCACGGCUAACUACGUGCCAGCAGCCGCGGUAAUACGUAGGUGGCAAGCGUUGUCCGGAUUUACUGGGUGUAAAGGGCGCGUAGGCGGGAGAGCAAGUCAGGAGUGAAAUCUAUGGGCUUAACCCAUAAAUUGCUUUUGAAACUGUUUGUCUUGAGUGAUGGAGAGGCGAGCGGAAUGCCUAGUGUAGCGGUGAAAUGCGUAGAUAUACGGAGGAACACCAGUGGCGAAGGCGGAUUACUGGACGAUAACUGACGCUGAGGCGCGAAAGCGUGGGGAGCAAACAGGAUUAGAAACCCCUGUAGUCC
Molecule: ribosomal RNA, 428 nt
Filed under: uncultured bacterium
Lineage: Bacteria
Description: partial 16S ribosomal RNA
Rfam family: Bacterial small subunit ribosomal RNA
Source: RNAcentral